CUGGCAUUUUUGUUUCGUUUCCAUUCAGAGUGGAGCUAGUAUUUUCUUUACAUAUUAUGUUUGUAUAUUGAUAUUGCGGAGAUAUUUAUUGUAUUAUGUUCACAGUAACAGCAGCCUUAGCAGGUGGGUGAAUGAUGGUCUGUACACAGAGGUUGUGAACAAUCAUACAACUUUGCGUCGGUGGUUACUCAACCAAAUUGUAAGUACGCCUCUCCCUUUUCCACAUCGGGGCUCGUUAGAUGUCAUUUAACGCUGUCUUUUUUGUUAAGGUAAGCAUGAGUUGAUCCUUUAACCCUAAAACAAAUCGCUACAUGUGACGCUGCUGCUGUUUUGCUUACGGGGCAUUUGAUCUCUUUUGUUUCGCUUACUGGCAUUUGAUCUCUUUUGUUUCGCUUACUGGCAUUUUAUGUCUUUUGUUUUGCUUUGCUGCUCGCUUGGGCUCUCCGGUUAAGCGUCUCGCGUUUGCUGUGCUGCAUAUCAGCUCCUGUUUGUGUAGUUUGUUUCCCGCUUUGUGCUGUGUUUUGUCUUUUGUUGUCUUUAUAGAGAUCGCUAAGACAUGUGACCAACUGGGCUGCAACGUCAUCAGAACGCAAAGAAUUAUGGGAGCCAGUAAGUUCUUUGUGGGGAGCAUGGGAGGCUAGCUGUCUUGAUUCAGUGGUGUGCUUCACAAGUGUGUUAAGUGUGCCGGCACAACUUUAUGAUGGUGGCAUGUUCCAGAGUUGGGAACCCUUCACAGAAAAAAACUUUGAGUUGUUCUGUGAUAGUCAACCCUACAGAUACAUUCACUACUCCUUAAUGUUCUCAUACCAUCCUGUCUAUUUGGCAAUUUACACAACACCCGUGGGGCUUUAUUGUGCAGACAUUUAAACACCAAAUAUAUGUAUAUAUAUAUAUAUUGCAAUGAUGCACAUGAUUUGGUAUUUUUGUCCAUGAUUUUUAAAGUCUGAUUGUAAAGUGACAUUAUAUGAUUUACGGUGGAUUCGCUUGUUUGAGCCCAAACUGUAAUUCAAUAUGAAAUGAGACAAAAUUAUUGCAUGCAUAUAAAGCUGAGCCGCCUGCUUUUAAAUGUUUGAAAAUGUCUAAUUCAUUUGAAAUAAUGUAUGUUAAUCUUUUUUUUUAAGUUUCUUUACAUGUCUAUGAAAUGUGAGAUGAGAAUCUAAAAUUAUUCCUGAGAAUCUUCAUUUGUGAUGUUCCUUUUUGUUUUCUAUUAGAGAAACACAAACUGUUUUUCUGACGUUCAAUGAUGGUUAUUUUAGAGCCUCUGAGAUAUUCCCAAAGUUAGCUUUUAAAAUCUCAG
Xyrauchen texanus (razorback sucker) is the source of this 1297-nucleotide long non-coding RNA. RefSeq lists it as uncharacterized. The record is from RefSeq and is a predicted model, not a curated record. The transcript has 3 exons. Lineage: Eukaryota; Metazoa; Chordata; Actinopteri; Cypriniformes; Catostomidae.